Molecule: non-coding RNA, 7153 nt
Organism: Cyanistes caeruleus (blue tit)
Lineage: Eukaryota; Metazoa; Chordata; Aves; Passeriformes; Paridae
Source: RefSeq, a predicted model, not a curated record
UCACGCUGAGGGGACAGAGGCCAGCGGCGCCGUCGCGUUCCUUUGAAAUUGCAAGGAACUUCGCCAAUAUGGAGUUGCGAAAGGGAUUUUUCAGCUAUAUAGUUAUAGUUUUCAGCUAUAAAGUGUUGAGAUACUGGAACUUUCUAAAGCUGAUGAUGAUGGAGAUGUUGUUCAAUGACAGACGAAGUUACAGGUUCGGCACUGAAAACUGCACGUACUUAAGGAGUUUUUGUUUCAGUGGGGGAAAAAAGUUUGUAAAUUGCAAAAGCAAAGUAUAUAACUACAUCAAUUACAUUAGUGUAGAAGUAUAUACGGGCUCAUUGUUGUAUUGGUGCCUGAAAUGGGGUACCCUAACUUUGGUCAUACGCACUCAAUAGUAUUUCUUUGGUGACUGGAAUUUUUAAUCUUAAAAAAACCACUCGCUUCUGAAUUAUGUGGUUUUACUUACAAAUGAUGAAUAAAUAUGAGUAAUUCUGUAAUAUGAGUAUUAUCAGUAAUUCUGAUAAUACUGCAGAAGGUCCCUGGCUUGGUGCCUAAUGAACAUACUAAGGGUGAUAAAAGUGGCAAAAAGCUGGUUAUUUUUCCUAUUUCUGAGGUAAAACCUUUGAACAACGUGAAUAAUCCAUCUUAAACUCCUUAUCUGCAUGAUCAUAUCUACAUUCUUUCUCUUAAUAGUUACAAAGAAUAGUCUAACUUGUUAUUUCAAGUAGACAAUUGCUUUAUCUAGUGUGUGUUAUUAUGGAGUAAAGGGUUAAAUCUCACAGAUUUGGGUCUGUACUAUACAGAGAAUACCAUUACUUUUAUUUCUUUUCUCCAGAAUUAAGAACAGCAAACUCCUUUUUAUUUUCUGCUUCACUCUUCAUUGGGACAUUUCUUUCAUGUCUUGAAGCCUCGUAAUCUUUUUUGCUUCAAUGUGAUAAACCAACAUUAUAAAGAAGAGCAAGGAAAAUAAUUUAUGUUUCUCAUAUUUUUAUAUAAAAUAUACAUGAGCAGACUACACCUACCAGGCCUAGAUUUAAUAUUAGUAUUGCCCACAUGAUGUUUUUUUAUAUCAGUAAUUACUAUUGCAGUUUGCUUAACCAGCAAACUGGGGGAAAUGUGAACAUUUUCAUGAACAGUUAAUGUUUGCUUUCCCUUUAAAGUUUAACACUUCAAAUUUUAAACAGGCCAACAAGUUUGUCUAAACUCACUGGUCACAAAUCUAUUUCAAAGUAACUUUAAAAAACUCCUUCUCUUUUCUUUCCUAUGAAUUCUUCUUAUUAUGUGCUAGAGGAAAGCAUAUGUGUGCAUAUACCUAUGUGUAUGCCUGCUUAAAAAAUAAACAAACAAGAAGAGAUUAAAUAUUGGCUAAGAAAAUAUGCAAACCCCAAACCAAAACCCAGGAGAGAGGGGGUGGCAACACCAGUGGCAUCUAUUGCAAACAGAGUUGGCACUUCAGUUUAACUAAAACCAAGUAACUGCAUUUCAUAAGAAAGGUCACAUGCAAAGCUCAGUGUGACACAAGUACUUUUGUCUCUCAUCUUGCUCUAAUUUUGUCUUUUCAGGAAAAAAAGCAGUGAAUGCUUUUUGGUUUGAAUACCACAGUACCUCGGGAACCUUUUGCACUCAUCCUUCUGCUGUCAUGCCUGGUGUAAACAUCAGGGCACAGAAAAAGCAUGGAAAGAGCAACAAAGAAUAACAACAUGCCAGAGGAUUGAGGGGUAGGUAUGGCAACUACAGACAGAAGUAGGUUGCUAUUCUGUUUUAGAAAAAAACCAGAGAUCUAUGAAUAGAAACAACAAAUUCAUGUCCAUUUUAAUGCAAUAAAUUUAAUUCUCUCUGUGCUAAUGCCCAACUCACAUCCAGGGCAAUUUUAUAUCUCCAGCUGGCAAUUACACAGCCACGAAGUUCAUGCUGUGAAAGGUCAGCCAACCUCUGGGUGACAUGCUGAGGUGUUGGACACCGUCUGUGGUGAGCAGAGGAGAUGGAAUAAGAGAUAGGUAAUGAUAAACUGAGGAUCUCUGUAUCUGUAAGAUAGGUCUGGACACAUUUUGCAGCUGUGAUGGUAAGUUUAUCACUGAGUGACUUGCAUUGUACGUAGCCUUUUUAAUUUUGUGUUUUCAGUCAUCAGAUCUAAUAGAAAACAUGGAAAACACUGAAAUAUGUCUUCAGAAGAGGUGGGCUUUAAGAGAUCACUGAGGGAACAACAAGGGCUGGAAAGAGAGAUGCAAUCUACUCCCUGAGAUCAGUGAAGGAACAAAAAAGGGGGGGCUUUUGGGGAAAAACCACCAGCAACAAACACAGCAGCCAGUGGAAUGGCAGCAAACCAGAUGGAUUUGUGGUAACCACAGCAAAUACGGAUUCUGGGAAACAAGGAAAGGCAAACAAGUGGAUUUGUGAGGUACUGAGAGAAGAAAUGUCUUUGAAACCAAUAGGAGGUAGAAAUUCUCCAGACUUGAUUUACUCACCAAGGCACAGCUAAGUGCUUUGAGUCAGGCAGCCAAUAGUGUUUAGGUGUCUUGAGAAAUACUGGAUUGAUCCCUUUCUAUUUCAGUGAGUGGGAAAAGAUGGGAUGCCCUGCAUACAGAGGGACAUCAAAGGCUCUUACCAGGUGACAAUGGUGGCAGGCACACGUGGCAUUUGUGCGCCAGAGCAUCAGCAAGCGCUCCACAUGGGUAGUAAUCUACUCUGCUGACUGGAUGGGUCAGCUUCCCAUGGAAUUGCUGCAAAUUCCCAGUGUAGAGACAGCCUCUGAGAUCUCAUUAAAACAGCAUUUUCUAGGAGUUUAUAAUCCAAAUAUAAUUCUAAAUGUUUUCUCUUUCACUUUUUUUUUGGUCCUGAAAUACGCACACACAUACACUUUUAUAUAUUUAAAUUGAUUCAUUUUCAAUGUCUCUAGCUGAUAAAUAGAUGCUAAACAUAACUGAUUUUUUAAAGGUAAUUUCAAUGAAUUAUGAAAUAAAGGCAGUUUAAGAAAUCUGCUUUAUUCUAGAAGAUGGAUGAAGCUGUCUCUUGAGGUGCCCCAUUUAAGAGCAGUAUCAGCCAUUGAGGUUUGUCCCUUGAGACAGUGCCAAAUAGAGCCCAGGGAAUAAUUAAUUCUAGGGCACCAGCACACUAAUUAGUAUUGCUGGAAUUGAUAGGAGUUUCAGUACCUUUGAAAAUCUGUUUUUAUUUUGAUGUGAAUAUUUUAGCCUUUUUUUUUUUGCUUGAAGUAGCUGCCAUUCUUAGUCUGUUUUCCAUCAUAAUAGGAGACAUCUAAGGAUGGAAAAGCGGCAAAAAGUAAACCACCUGCUUAAACAUCUUCAUUCUGACAACAUGAAAGGCUACAAAAAAUCCUGGGGUUAGUGGGAUAUUAGAUAAAUAUAAAAUAACUCUUCCAGCUUGGACUAAUCAAUCCAGCCCAGUGCCUGCCAUCUGGCCAGGAGUUUGCUAGUGCCCCUUGCCCCAGCUGUCAGCAUUUGAGUUGCUUGUUCCUGUCAUUGCCUAAAAGGAAUUAGUUCCAGAUCAUUAUGGAUUGCAAAGAUGGUCAUUGUUUUGUUUAACAUUUACACAACUGCCAGAGACCUGCUUCUGAAUUAAAGUCCUGGACAAGCCCUUGGCUGUUUUGACUGCAGGUAGGUGCAUGGAAAACAAAUGGUGGAUUUUUUCCUUCUCUUCUGUACAUUUGACCUCAUUUUUCUGUUUACAGAAAAUUGAUUGCCUCAAAUAGGUAAGUUGGAAUUAUGGAAGCUCAAAAUUUAAAAAAAAAAAACCAACAACACAAAAUAAUUCCAUAAUUACAGUGUCUUUAGUUAAACAUUAAAUCCAUUUUAACGCAUCCUAAAGACUGACAGCUUUUUAUGUGUUUGAAGAGAUGCGUUUCUAAAAUGUUCAUCUUCUUUACAAAAGUGGCUAAAAUAAUUAUUUUGACCUAUCAUGGAAACUGUAACAAAUUAUUAGUGUGUUUUGGGUUUCUUUUUUCCCUGGACGUUGAUGCUAAGCUGCCAGGUUAAUUGACAUGUUUCUUUCCUAAUUGCUACCUGCACCCUGGCUGGACGUUUCCAAGAUAUUUAAAAGAGGUUUACAAGCCCUUUACACUGCCAAGAAACUUAUGAUGUAGGAAUAAAAAUGAAAUGCAGAUCAUAACUUCCAAACCACCAAACUCAUAAACUCUCCUGCACAGAUCUGCAGGGAUCUAUCAGCAUUCCUACCCAGCUUUGGUUGCAUUUCCUAUUUUCCUUGGAUUGUGGGCAGUGGUUGAACAGCACAAUUGGGUCUUGACCUGUAACGUGGACUUCCAAACAAUUUUAAGAGCAAUACACAUUUUUCACUUUGUUUUUUCAACACUUUUGGUCUAAAAAUAUUUGACAAUUUUUUACAGCUACAAGAAAGAGCACUGCAUUGUAUAAAGUAUGGACAUUUGGCCUAGUUUUGAUCACCAGAUACUUGUGACUCCCCCAGGGUAAAAAUAACUAAUUUUCAGUAGUCCUCCGGUUAUCAUAUUUUUUGAGAAGGUAAUUUUUUUUUUCCUUUUCUUUUUCUGUUAGUAUGGUAGAGAGGUUCUUUACUUGUUUUUAGAAUGUACUAAUCCCUCUUCUGUUUGGUAUUUUUAUCCAUACAUAAUCCUGAAACUGAAAAUAGUUUUCAAGAUAUGGAAGGCUGAGAUAUUUUGAUUUUCUGCCUGCAUGACAGAUUCCUGAGGCUUUUCAGUCUUAUUCCACAGUGAUGAUUUCCUCCUUUCCUUCCUUACCACUCUUAGGUAUAUCCCAAGCAAUAUUUUUUAUCCUGUUGUACUUGAGAAUUAUUUUUGAGUAUUCCUCUCUGGACUGGAUGCAGACCUGGAUCUAUCUCCCUCUAUUUUGAUACUUUUGAACAGGGAGGUUUUGCUGUGAUACAUAAUGACUUAUCCUACAAUAUCCACCCUGCAUUCUUCAUUUAAUUUAAUCCUUUUGCCCAAUUCUGAUACAUUCUGACUCACCAUUUUAUUGAGUGCUGAUGGCUUCUGGCACCAGCCCUAGUUUUAUUGAAUCAUCCAGACUGUUCCUAUACUUUUUGGGGAUCGGUUUUUGGCUGUGCAAUGCACAGAACACUACAGAGCACUGUGACACUUCCAUCACAGGUGAUGUGUUCCAGGAAUUCCUUCUCAGUGACGCAGGCAAGGGAAAAAAAAGGGAGUUGGUCAUCUCCCCAUUGCUUCCAGCAUGUGUUUCAUCCUGACUGGCCAUAACAAAUUGGUCUGUGUCAGCCAUCUCCUUGUUGGAAAAAUAUUCCUGGGUUAUAUGAUAACAAGCAGCCCUGUGUCAUAACUGGAGUUAGGGAUCUGAGGAGGUGGAUGGCGUUAUGUUUAUUCAGGCUGCACGUUGACAAGGUGGUUCCUGAGCCAACAGUGCUAAUUAACAACAUGUGCCUGUACUGAGCUGAUAAUUAGGUUUGAAACCUUAGUAGGGGAUUUGCUUCCAUAAUGGGUUUUUUUCCCCAGGAUUUUACUUUUUGAGGUUGGAAUUACAUGUGCUCUUCUGCUAUAGCAUAACUGUGGUGGGAUACACAUUCUGCAUCUUCACAGGAUGGGUGAGAUGGCAAAAGAUUAUUCAUUCACAUAAAAACUGGGAAGGAACAUGCUGGAAAAGUGUGACCAGUGCAUUAUGGAAGGUGCUUUCUGACCAACAUAUUCACUUAGAAAUUUUCCAUUACAACACUCACUUGGCAAUAAAUGUCCAGCUACAAAUUCCUGCUCUCAACAUGCUGAGAUUAAAUCUUCUCACUGAAAAAGGUUUCUAAAAUUUUUCAUAAGGGUAAUAUAAUUUAGUAGUGAAUACUAGAAUAGAGUUACUAUUAUGCAGAAUAAAAAGAUUUCUUUGAAACUCUUUUACAGAUUCUUUAAGAAAGAAACAAAGAUAUUUCCUCUAUCUCAAACUUUCCUGUUUUAGUGUCCUACUAGUGGUACAACGCCUGAGUUUCUGGCUUGUUUUUCUUUUAAAAAAAGCCAAUAUUAAUUGUCAUGCUGGGUAAGUUAUAUCACACUUUUCACAUAGGACUUACAAAUUUUAGAUAUAACUAUUAGAAUUUCAGCCUAAUUUUGGGCAGCCACUCACUUAUUUACUAAAUUAGAUUUAUAUGCUAUUGGUUCUGAGGUUAUGAAAUAUACCUCAAACUGGAACAUUAAUAGCAUUCUAGUGUAAGUUUUUUUGCAGGUAGGCAAGGUUUUCUGGUGUUUAGUGGUAAAGGUGAAAAAACUCUUGAGUUCCCCAGAGAAAUCAGAGUUAAGAAGAUUAGGGGUCAUAAAAUAAAAAGCUAAGAAGUUUUUAGCAAAAAAGAGAAUUCUGCAGUUAAAGGUAUUUUGUUGUGGGUUUCCCCCUUAUUCUCACAUUUGGCUUUUUUAGGAAUUAUUUUGUUGCUGGAAACACUGAUUCAUUGUAGUUUGUUUUUUUCCCCACAAACAUGUUUGAACUUUACAGGAUGUACCCCAAUUCAAAGGCACCCGAAGCCUUACCAAAUUUUUGAUCUGUCCUCAGUUGGGGCAGGGUAAAAAUAAAAACAGUGACAAAGUUUCACAACCACACUGCACUUCCCUUAGUGGAAAAAUCUCUGCAAGAGUGCUGAGUCCGUCUGGCCAGUGAAGAGAAAGGGCUCCCCCUUCCAAAGGCUUUAGGCUAAGGAUGAGGAAAGAAAGCAGAUUUCUAUUUUGAGUUUCAUAAAUAGAAAGUCGGCAGCUUUGCUACCACACAGUCGGGAUGUUACUCUGGACAUCCCGCGCUCUUCGUGUGCGAGGUGCUGCACAUGCUGGUCCCUCUGUGAGGCAAGGACCUUGUGACAGUGUCACACCGCGGGGACAGGAUCACCUGUGCCACGUAGGCAGCUCUUCGUCAGAGCUCACACACAUCCCCAUCCCACGAGGAGUGUCAGACAGCCCUCGUCCACACGGCUGUACCUUCAUUUUCCCCCUCAGCACCCCGCAUUUCGCUCCCUUUGGAGCUCCCACGCGUCUGAGGGACAGCCCGCAGCAGUUUAAAUGCGGCGCUGUUGCGGCCUCAAGAGGGAGGCAGCGGGUUCCGUGACACGGCAAAGCUGCCAAUCCUAUCGAGCUCAGGAUUCCUCGGGAAAAUAAAGGGGAAGCAGAAUUUAGACACAGCCGGUGUAGAUUAUGAUGGAGUAGUAGCUAGGAAGCUGUUGCUACACUUUCAGUACCACAACAAAC